UAGCAAAGUGGGAGUGAUUU
RNAcentral lists this unclassified non-coding RNA (20 nucleotides) under Mus musculus (house mouse). RNAcentral's name for it is "oocyte_clustered_small_RNA3886". Lineage: Eukaryota; Metazoa; Chordata; Mammalia; Rodentia; Muridae. The record is from RNAcentral.